UCGGGUGGGAGUGGCAGACGGGUGAGUAACACGUGGGAACGUACCCUUUGGUUCGGGACAACUCUGGGAAACUGGAGCUAAUACCGGAUACGCCCUUUUGGGGAAAGGUUUACUGCCGAAGGAUCGGCCCGCGUCUGAUUAGCUAGUUGGUGGGGUAACGGCCUACCAAGGCGACGAUCAGUAGCUGGUCUGAGAGGAUGAUCAGCCACACUGGGACUGAGACACGGCCCAGACUCCUACGGGAGGCAGCAGUGGGGAAUAUUGGACAAUGGGCGCAAGCCUGAUCCAGCCAUGCCGCGUGAGUGAUGAAGGCCUUAGGGUUGUAAAGCUCUUUUAUCCGGGACGAUAAUGACGGUACCGGAGGAAUAAGCCCCGGCUAACUUCGUGCCAGCAGCCGCGGUAAUACGAAGGGGGCUAGCGUUGCUCGGAAUCACUGGGCGUAAAGGGCGCGUAGGCGGCGUUUUAAGUCGGGGGUGAAAGCCUGUGGCUCAACCACAGAAUGGCCUUCGAUACUGGGACGCUUGAGUCUGGUAGAGGUUGGUGGAACUGCGAGUGUAGAGGUGAAAUUCGUAGAUAUUCGCAAGAACACCGGUGGC
This 596-nucleotide ribosomal RNA is filed under the name uncultured bacterium. Its description in RNAcentral is "bacterial SSU rRNA". It matches the Rfam family "Bacterial small subunit ribosomal RNA", at positions 85 to 716 of the family's 1533-position model. The record is from RNAcentral.